UUUGAUUUCAACUCCAGCCACCAGUGACUUCAACUGUCACUUUUCUGUCAUGCAGCUGACUACAUGUGUAAGCUGUUCAAACUCUGCCUGUCCUUAUCAUUCAAGACUGUGUGUUAUGAGGACUGCUUCCCUGAGAAUGCUGAGUGCAUUCUGGAAUAUUCCAAAUGUGUGCCACUUCCACACCGACGCCCGCAAGAGAGUUCACUCAUCAGGUCAAAGUUGGUCUGUCCUGAUGGCACUACCUGCUGCUUGAUGAUGUCUAGUAGCCAUCGCUGCUGCCUUCAACGCGGUAGUCCUCACAAAUAAACUGAUAUCAAGAAUUAACACAGAUGGUGAUGGUGGCAAGUGUGCCUUCAGAAGGUGCCACCCAGCAGUCCCAGCCUGCUUUUGCAAGUCCGAUGGGGGAUGAUCUAUGUUAAGGUCGUGUAAGCAAGAGGGCAAGUGCUGCUGCAGGCAAUGUUGCGAUAAGCCUGCAACAGAUAUAGCCGGCCUUCUAAAAUCCAAGAAUGAGGAAUGCCUGAAACAAGGAACAACUCGGCAGUGUAUGUGAACGUGUUUACCUGUGUGUGUAUGAGUGUGCAUGUGAGGGUAUGCGUGUGAGUAUGUAUGUGUGUGGGAGUGUAUGAGUGGUGGGUGUGUGUGUGUACAACUUGUGCUCUGAUUGUGCACCAGUUUGCUCAUGGUUAUGUGUUAGCCUGUACACUUUUUGUUUUGUUUUAGGUGGGUGAAUAUUUAUAUAUGUAUGGGUGUGUGCUGUAAUGUAUGUGUUUGUGUGUAAAUCCGUUGAGUUCAUAUCAGAUGAGGGCAACACCAUGCCAGUUUGAUCAUGGUUAUGCGUUUAAAUGUAUGUGACUACACCUGUAUGUAUGCUUAUGUAUAUUAGCCUGUAUGCUUUUU
This is a long non-coding RNA of Alosa alosa (allis shad), 897 nucleotides long. RefSeq lists it as uncharacterized. The record is from RefSeq and is a predicted model, not a curated record. NCBI's taxonomy places the organism in Eukaryota, Metazoa, Chordata, Actinopteri, Clupeiformes, Clupeidae. The transcript has 6 exons.